UGAGAGGGGAAAUGGUAAAUACAUAUGGUAAGAAAUAGUAAAUUGUCAGGUUAGGUUUGUUAGGGGCUGAAGAACCUGAGCUGUGGACUGGAGGCAGCGGCGCGGCAAGAUGAGCAAGAGGCAGGGUCCGCCGAAGCACCAAAACCGGUACGCAUGGAAACCCAAAGCCGGCCACAAAAUCAACGAAACGGAAGUUGGAGGGAAGCUCAGACCAUACUCGGAGAUCACCGGGGUGUGCCCUCGCUGUAAAGAACAGAUCGAUUGGAAACGCCGUUACGGCAAAUACAAGCCCCUCUCUGAGCCUGCCAAAUGUCAACGAUGCUCUAAACGUGCAGUCCGUCAGGCUUACCAUAAUUUAUGUUCUGCUUGUGCAAAGGAGCAAAAUGUUUGUGCAAAGUGUUGUUGCCUCGUGGACCAUAUAGUUGGAAGGUUUGGUUGAUUUUGUUUAACUAUGUGAAUAAAGGAUUUGCUGGUAUUUCGAGUUGGAUGGUGAUUUGGUUUUCUGAAUUUUCAUGUUAAUUUUGAAAACUAUGCAAGUUCAAAUGUUUUCUGCUUUUUGUUUAUAGAGAUUCUGCUGAAGUGGAGGCUGAGCAAAAGAUACUCGAGGAGGCAUGUUUGGCUGUGUUGUGCAAUUUGUAUGUGUAGUUAAACAUUUAUAUUGACGUUUAGUUGGAGUUUAUUGAGCUUACAAUCUAUUGCUGGCCAUUAAGAAUGCUAGAGAAAGGGAUCGGAGGACUCUCCUACGCACUGUAAGUUCCCUGGGCUAAUGUUCAUAUCCUAUUGUGCAUAGAGGUUUUUGGUGCAUAUUGUUCAUCUCAAUGUUUUUGACACGUAACAUGAACUAUUUAAACUAAAUGAUCAUAUCUAAGUCUCUCCAUUUGAAAUCUUUUUAUCCUAACAAAGCAUAAAUAAAAUGUAAUGAAUCAAUUGGGAUUAACAUGUGCAUCUAUGAAUGCAUAUUGAAUUUUUGAUAUAACUGGCAUAUGAUAUUUGAUUGACCUACUUAUGGAAUUACUAUCAUAGUCAUGCAGAAGAACAGAUGGGUGUAAAAAUUUAAUGGUUGAAACAGUAAUGGUCAAGCUUUGAGGAUCUCUUUUCUUAAUAAGCUACUACCCUUAUUACUUCGUCUGUGGCAGCUUUCCUAGGUUUCUUCUUGGCCUAUUGCAAGUUUUUCUGAACUAAGCUGUACAUACAUGAAUUGCUGGAGGUAGGGCCUUGUUAGGGGUCAGUAGUCAGUCAGUUUAGUUCAGAGCUGAAUUGAGCUGAUCAAAUCAAAUAAAUCGAAUCUUUUAAAAUCCUAGAACACAUUGAAACUGAUUUUAGAAAACAUUUUAAUAUACUUUUCAAAGUAGAGAAAUGAAACUGUUAAAUAAUAAUAGUAAAAUAUAUAAUACUAUAGCUGAUCUCCUAUAGCUCUAACAAGAAUAGAGUAGCUAGAUGCAUUGUGUUUCACACACACACAGAGAAAGAGAGAUGGUUUUCUUUCUUUCCUCCCCUUUUUUUAUCAUUAUGCAAGUUUUUCAUGAACUAGAGAACCAAAUUUUACCCUGAUCUCCAAGGAACCAAAAUUUUCAAGGAUUUUUUUUGGGCAAGGUAUCAUUUCUGCAAAAUGACUGGAACCCAAAUAUGCAGUAAAUAAAAGCAAGUCUCCAAAAUUAAAAAUAAAAUAAAAUA
RNAcentral lists this unclassified non-coding RNA (1674 nucleotides) under Hevea brasiliensis (rubber tree). Lineage: Eukaryota; Viridiplantae; Streptophyta; Magnoliopsida; Malpighiales; Euphorbiaceae. The record is from RNAcentral.